Molecule: ribosomal RNA, 242 nt
Filed under: uncultured bacterium
Lineage: Bacteria
Description: partial 16S ribosomal RNA
Rfam family: Bacterial small subunit ribosomal RNA
Source: RNAcentral
CUAGCGUUGUUCGGAAUUACUGGGCGUAAAGCGCACGUAGGCGGCUUUGUAAGUUAGAGGUGAAAGCCCAGGGCUCAACCCUGGAAUUGCCUUUAAGACUGCAUCGCUUGAACAUCGGAGAGGUAAGUGGAAUUCCGAGUGUAGAGGUGAAAUUCGUAGAUAUUCGGAAGAACACCAGUGGCGAAGGCGACUUACUGGACGAUUGUUGACGCUGAGGUGCGAAAGCGUGGGGAGCAAACAGG